Molecule: ribosomal RNA, 460 nt
Filed under: uncultured bacterium
Lineage: Bacteria
Description: partial 16S ribosomal RNA
Rfam family: Bacterial small subunit ribosomal RNA
Source: RNAcentral
CCUACGGGAGGCAGCAGUGAGGAAUAUUGGGCAAUGGGCGCGAGCCUGAACCAGCCAAGUAGCGUGAAGGAUGACUGCCCUACGGGUUGUAAACUUCUUUUAUAAAGGAAUAAAGUGAGGCACGUGUUCCGUUUUGAAUGUACGGUAUGAAUAAGGAUAGGCUAACUCCGUUCCAGCAGCCGCGGUAAUACGGAGGAUCCGAGCGUUAUGCGGAUUUAUUGGGUUUAAAGGGAGCGUAGAUGGGUUGUUAAGUCAGUUGUGAAAGUUCGAGGCUCAACGGUAAAAUUGCAAUUGAUACUGGCAGUCUUGAGUACAGUUGAGGAUGGCGGAAUUCGUGGUGUAGCGGUGAAAUGCUUAGAUAUCAGGAAGAACUUCGAUUGCGAAGGCAGCUUACUAAACUGCCACUGACAUUGAUGCUCGAAAGUGUGGGUAUCAAACAGGAUUAGAUACCCGGGUAGUC